This is a long non-coding RNA of Apodemus sylvaticus (European woodmouse), 624 nucleotides long. RefSeq lists it as uncharacterized. Lineage: Eukaryota; Metazoa; Chordata; Mammalia; Rodentia; Muridae. The transcript is spliced from 3 exons. The record is from RefSeq and is a predicted model, not a curated record.
UUCAGGAAGUCCCUAAAAUCAGUCACAUCCACUAGGCUGGUUCCUGACAGAGUAACCAGAGCUAAACAGUAAAGAAGACUCAGACCACUCCAGCUGCGUUGAAGAAGCAGAAACCAGCUGAGCUGCUCCAGCCUGAGGAGUCUUCAGUGUGAACCUGAGGAGAGAACAGACGAAUGGGGGACAAGAGACACAAAGAAAGAGGCCAAGACAGCACCGAGCUGCCUGGAAGCCGCCGAGUAGACCAACUGAGUCAAUUCGAAAGGACGCUCUCCCACCUAUUGAGUUCCUGAGAUGCUGUACACUACAGUAUACUCCAGAUUCUACCAGGAAAAGUUCUGUCAUACACCACAUGGUAUCCUCAUAAGACUGAGCCCACUUGUGCCAGAAGUUUGGUAAGGUAGAGCGGGUUGAGACCCAGAAACCGGCACACACCUGAGGCUUAGAUGGCUCCCAGCUCCCUGCCAGACUCCUGACUUGGAACACAUCCUUCUCACAUAAAAGGACACCCAGGCUCUAAACAGAGCUCUCCGUGCUAAUGAGGUAUCUAGAGGUCUGGAGGGCUUAGCCAAUGAGCUUCCCUUCCCAAACAUUCCUCGAUUGGAAAAAGUAUUUAAGACCCUGAGA